AACAUUUUCUAUUGUCUUUCGUGUAAAUUAAAAUUUGAAAUUUUCAUAAAAAGUAAAAAACGGUCAACAAUUUUUCACAAAUAAACAAAUCUCUACCAUUUCAAUUCUACAUUAGUAGUUCUUGUUUGUGGUUUUUCAGGAGAUCAGAAGUUUAGGGCUGAGCUCUCCAAGAAAUUGUCCUCGGAGAAGAAACAUUGGGUGAUGACCUUGUAGUUGGCUUUUGCUCGGAGGUAAAAAUUUUCUUUUCUUUUAUCGUUUGUUAACUUGAUUAGGCUUUCUUUGAUUUUUCCCCCCUUUUUAUGGUGUUUGAGGAUGACUUAAGUAUGUUGCUAUAAAACAAUGACUUGUAAACGGAAAGUUGAAUAUAACAUACUCGAGAAAAUGUGCAAGUGAAGCUAUGAAUUCCGUUGAAUAAGAGACUUUGGCAGAAUUUAACACUUGCCUUGACCACAACGCCAAACUUAUUUUAUGGAAGUACUCAAAGAAGUUCGAUGAAUGCUCUUCAAUUAGAUUUCGAAGUGAAUGCACUCUGACUUAUGACUUUGAGCCUGGUUGGAAUUAUUGCUUUGCUGUUUGAUUUCAGUGAAAUACCGGUAUUAUAUUGAACUAUUCCAUCCAACAUCUUCUCACUUUAUAUAUAACUGCAAAAUCAGGAAUGGAGAUAAUGUGUAUAUAUUGUUUCAGAAAAAAAUAAGCCUUCAGACAUUAAUCUCUUAUUCUGCCUGUAAGGGUGGAAGUUUGAAUGUUUGAUUUGAAAUUUACUGUCUUAGAGCUACCAACCAACUUAGUUAGUUAGAGAGAAAGAAAUGUUAAGGAAAAAUUAUCACAGAUCAACAAUAUUAAUAAGUGAAGAACAAGGGUGAUAAACUGGAAGGAGACUUUUUGUUCACAUCUGGUUGGCAUUACCAAUAAAAAUGGUAUGGACGUGUCUAUAUCUGCUUCACAUGCUUGCUUGUUUCUUACUUCGUGUGGAAAGAAUGCCACAUUGUAAAUAUUAUAUAAUCAUUUAAAUUUGGUUAGGACGCAUUGGGUUAGGGAGAUGAUGAAAUGGAGGGAUUGGGAUUUUAUUUUUAGUUUAAAUUAUUUGAAUGGAGAUCAUAAGACAGGCAUCUUUUUGUUGGUUGGAGAUCUGACCAUGGAAACUAUCUUUUCAUGACCUUACUACCUCUGUCUAUUAACUUUCUUCUCAUUCAUUUUCCUAGAGUACUCCAGCUUGAUCUUCUCUUACAGAACACUCAUGAAUCUGGGUGAAUUAGUUUGAAGGUUAAUUUUAUAUGCCACUAGAAAGGUGUAUUUCAAGUAAAACAUUUUUCUAAUAACAUUCUAAGUACAUUCCUGAAUUUAACCGACAAAACGUGACCUAUACAUUACAAAUCUCAUUCAAAUUGUUUAACUAGAAUUUGAAAAUCAAUUCAUUCAUUUAGAGAUUUUUAAGGCAUAUUUUGAUGUCUUAUACAUAUAUGACUGCCCUUUUUUCUUACUCAACUUUUGAUGGAUAUUUAUUAUCUAUCAAUAAUGUGAAUUUUACAGUAUAUGAUGGCCAUCCUAAAAGAUGGGAUAUUUGAAACUAUGGCAUCGCAAGGAUAUGUCAUAGUGUGGUUUGAAAUUCAUAAAAUUGGGCCCAAAAUGAUCUCUAUAGAAUGUUCAAAAAUAUAUCUAUUUAUUAGCAUACUUAAAACAUCAACAAACCUUUAAAACUUCAACAAACCCUUAGGCCCUCAUGUAUGGCCAACAUUCUUUCUCGCAUUCAACUAGAAAGACGUUCAUUUAUGCUAGAUAGAACAUCCUUGUUAGGAUACUUAAAAGUUCUAACAAAAACCUAGGCUAACAUUUAUGGUCAACAUCCUUAGGAUAAAUUUCAAUAACUGUCCCUAAACUUAUAUAGUUGUAACGUUACAGUCUUUCAACUUUAAAACGUAACAUAAAACCCUCUAAACUUUUAAAUUUUGCAUAGUAAAAUCUCUCUGACUUUCAAUUACUAAUUUUUCAGUUAGAAAUUGAUGUGAAUAGCUCCCGCAUGGCGCUUAGUCAACAUUUCUCUCUCCUCUCUUAUGCAAAGUGUAAAACUAUUCUCUUUACACAUAAAAAAUUAUUCUGUUUAUAGAGAGAAGAAGGAUUCAAUUCACACAUGGUUUGAGAGAAAAAGAGAAAUACUGACUAAAUUUCAUGUUGGAACUGUUCAGGUCAGCGUUUAACUGAAAAAUCAAUAAUUGGAGGUUAGAGGGAUUUUAUUGUGCAAAAUUUGAAAGUUGAUGAAGUUUUAUGUUACAUUUUUAAGUUAAGGGACUGUAAUGUUACAACUAUAUAAGUUCAGGGACAGUUGUCAAAAUUUGUCCACAUCCUUACAAUAAAAAGAAAAUCCACACUGAGAUUACUAGAAUUUUCUUACAUUCCAAAGCUAACACACUUAAAAGGCCUAACUGCAAGUUGUUUCAUCAUUCAUUCUAGGCAGUUCUAUUCUUCCACUGAUGUGAUAUGUGGUCCUAGGGUUGACCAUGCUUUACCCCUCAAAAUGUGUUUGGAUUACAACCACAGGAUCAUUCAUAAGUACGUUUUCAUCCAGAUUUAAUUGAACAAAUGUCUAACAAAUAUUAGAGCAUUAGAGUAAGCUUGCUUAUUGCCCUUUCCAAACAUUUUCUUCUAAAAAAUUUCCAGAAAAUUAUUGGAGAAGAGAUUGCUGAUAUAUGAUAAGUUGAUGACAUGGUAAGCCCGCUUGCUUAUUUUAAGGGCAGAAGUGCAAGGGAGAGGAAAUAUUUGAGUUUUAAUUUAGCUUCUCUAAAGUACCUUACUCAUAAACUAAGAGGAGAAUUGCUUUAUUCUGAUAGCCAAGAAAGAGACAUGGUAAGGUUUUGGCCCAAAUCACAUGCACUGGGACAGAACUUGGCUUUUUCUGGGAAGCUUAGUGGGUUGUGAUUCAACAGUAUUGUGAGGUAGCUAUGUAAACAAGAUGGUAACUUUUGGUAAAUUUUGAUUUAAUUUGCCGAAAUCAUUUAAUAGCUUAAAGCUCCCUUCUUUCUCUGAUUAUCUCUAUCCUUUUGGGGUGGGAGGGGACAACUAUAUAUGUAAACUAAGCCUGUGUUUGUUUUACGGAAAAUAAUUAAUGCAUAAAAAUUGUGUUUUAUAGAAAUUGUUUUAUAAGAAAAUAUUUUCUAUUAUUUGGUUACAAUGUUAAACUAAUAGUAUAUGUUUAUAUUAUUUAAGUAUAGUUUUUCACAUUUUAAUAAGAUUGUCAAAGUCCAGACAAUUACUUACUUUUUGAAAAAAAUGAAACUAUUUUCCUUAAAAUUAGCUUAGUUUAUCUUUGACCAGGAAAAAAUUUUCGUUAACCCAUUUUCGCCAAACGCUAGAAAAUGCGGAAAAUAUUUUCCAAAAAAAUAUUUUCCGCAAAACAAAUGGAGCCUAACAUUUCAAAUUUCUAUUGCUGAAAAAACUAGAGCUGCAGCCCUUUGGCUACUUGUAUCCUCGUGAAAUUUCAUGGUUUAAGGUGGUGACAUCUAUUAGCAACUUGAAGCUCCUCCCCUCUCCUCUCCAGGGAAAAGAAAAAUAAAAUAUUUCAUGUUGUUCAUCUGCUUAAGAAAAUGAGGUUGAUAGAGAUUUUUGUUAAAUUUGCCAUCUAAGUAAUGAUUGCAGGGGAAAAAAUUAUCUUACAAGCAAGAAUGUGCAAGCGAAGUAGGAGGAAUAACUUAGCAAAAUGAAAAAUUGCUUAUGAUGCCUGCAUAAAAUGAUCAAUAGAGGAUGCUGGACGGUGUUCUUAGGCCUAAAAAUUGGUGGUGGAAAUGAGAAACAAGGAAUGGGAAAUCCUGAUCCUUCAUUGCUCGAUCUCAAAAUUAGUUCUGAUUCCUUUUAACUUGUUCUACCAUCUUUUUCUCAUCUCAUAGGAGCCUUGCGUUUGUUUGACGGAAUAACAGGACCUGGAACAUGAUUGGUGGAGCCAUUCACUGAUAUGCUGGUAAGGAGAGGAAAUUACCUGGUGUACCUUUAGCUGCAAGGGAUUCCUUGUUAUGGGCUCAAAACUAUGUUAAUCUGGACUGGGAAGUUUGGACCUCAAACGUACAUAAUUCACUUCUUUUCAGUGUAUUUGAUAAGGAUACCUUUUAUUUUAUACUACUCUAAUUCCUGACCAAUCAUAAGCUUGCGGUAUAUGGAGACAGGAAAAUAUUACUUGUAAAACAAUGUUAGAUCCAUUGCCAUCUUUGUAGCUAUACAGAUUUCUUUUUACUUGAAAAUGGUUUGAAACUGGUAGCUUUGAUUGACAA
Molecule: long non-coding RNA, 4256 nt
Organism: Hevea brasiliensis (rubber tree)
Lineage: Eukaryota; Viridiplantae; Streptophyta; Magnoliopsida; Malpighiales; Euphorbiaceae
Exons: 4
Source: RefSeq, a predicted model, not a curated record